Molecule: ribosomal RNA, 1055 nt
Filed under: uncultured bacterium
Lineage: Bacteria
Description: bacterial SSU rRNA
Rfam family: Bacterial small subunit ribosomal RNA
Source: RNAcentral
CUCCUACGGGAGGCAGCAGUGAGGAAUAUUGGUCAAUGGACGCAAGUCUGAACCAGCCAUGCCGCGUGCAGGAAGACGGCUCUAUGAGUGGUAAACUGCUUUUGUACGAGGGUAAACUCACCUACGUGUAGGUGACUGAAAGUAUCGUACGAAUAAGGAUCGGCUAACUCCGUGCCAGCAGCCGCGGUAAUACGGAGGAUUCAAGCGUUAUCCGGAUUUAUUGGGUUUAAAGGGUGCGUAGGCGGUUUGAUAAGUUAGAGGUGAAAUCCCGGGGCUUAACUCCGGAACUGCCUCUAAUACUGUUAGACUAGAGAGUAGUUGCGGUAGGCGGAAUGUAUGGUGUAGCGGUGAAAUGCUUAGAGAUCAUACAGAACACCGAUUGCGAAGGCAGCUUACCAAACUAUAUCUGACGUUGAGGCACGAAAGCGUGGGGAGCAAACAGGAUUAGAUACCCUGGUAGUCCACGCAGUAAACGAUGAUAACUCGUUGUCGGCGAUACACAGUCGGUGACUAAGCGAAAGCGAUAAGUUAUCCACCUGGGGAGUACGUUCGCAAGAAUGAAACUCAAAGGAAUUGACGGGGGCCCGCACAAGCGGAGGAACAUGUGGUUUAAUUCGAUGAUACGCGAGGAACCUUACCCGGGCUUGAAAGUUACUGACGAUUCUGGAAACAGGAUUUCCCUUCGGGGCAGGAAACUAGGUGCUGCAUGGUUGUCGUCAGCUCGUGCCGUGAGGUGUCGGGUUAAGUCCCAUAACGAGCGCAACCCCUACCGUUAGUUGCCAUCAGGUCAAGCUGGGCACUCUGGCGGGACUGCCGGUGUAAGCCGAGAGGAAGGUGGGGAUGACGUCAAAUCAGCACGGCCCUUACGUCCGGGGCUACACACGUGUUACAAUGGUAGGUACAGAGGGUCGCUACCCCGUGAGGGGAUGCCAAUCUCGAAAGCCUAUCUCAGUUCGGAUUGGAGGCUGAAACCCGCCUCCAUGAAGUUGGAUUCGCUAGUAAUCGCGCAUCAGCCAUGGCGCGGUGAAUACGUUCCCGGGCCUUGUACACACCGC